UGCAGUCGAGCGGAUGAAGGGAGCUUGCUCCUGGAUUCAGCGGCGGACGGGUGAGUAAUGCCUAGGAAUCUGCCUGGUAGUGGGGGAUAACGUCCGGAAACGGGCGCUAAUACCGCAUACGUCCUGAGGGAGAAAGUGGGGGAUCUUCGGACCUCACGCUAUCAGAUGAGCCUAGGUCGGAUUAGCUAGUUGGUGGGGUAAAGGCCUACCAAGGCGACGAUCCGUAACUGGUCUGAGAGGAUGAUCAGUCACACUGGAACUGAGACACGGUCCAGACUCCUACGGGAGGCAGCAGUGGGGAAUAUUGGACAAUGGGCGAAAGCCUGAUCCAGCCAUGCCGCGUGUGUGAAGAAGGUCUUCGGAUUGUAAAGCACUUUAAGUUGGGAGGAAGGGCAGUAAGUUAAUACCUUGCUGUUUUGACGUUACCAACAGAAUAAGCACCGGCUAACUUCGUGCCAGCAGCCGCGGUAAUACGAAGGGUGCAAGCGUUAAUCGGAAUUACUGGGCGUAAAGCGCGCGUAGGUGGUUCAGCAAGUUGGAUGUGAAAUCCCCGGGCUCAACCUGGGAACUGCAUCCAAAACUACUGAGCUAGAGUACGGUAGAGGGUGGUGGAAUUUCCUGUGUAGCGGUGAAAUGCGUAGAUAUAGGAAGGAACACCAGUGGCGAAGGCGACCACCUGGACUGAUACUGACACUGAGGUGCGAAAGCGUGGGGGAGCAAACAGGAUUAGAUACCCUG
This 738-nucleotide ribosomal RNA is filed under the name Pseudomonas aeruginosa. RNAcentral's name for it is "bacterial SSU rRNA". It matches the Rfam family "Bacterial small subunit ribosomal RNA", at positions 56 to 789 of the family's 1533-position model. Lineage: Bacteria; Pseudomonadati; Pseudomonadota; Gammaproteobacteria; Pseudomonadales; Pseudomonadaceae. The record is from RNAcentral.